GGCUGGUCCGAAGGUAGUGAGUUACCUCACUUGAUUGUUCAGUCAGUUACAGAUUGAACUCCUUGUUCUACUCUUUCCCCUCUUCUCACUACUGCACUUGACUAGGCUAAA
Molecule: Y RNA, 111 nt
Filed under: Microcebus murinus (gray mouse lemur)
Lineage: Eukaryota; Metazoa; Chordata; Mammalia; Primates; Cheirogaleidae
Description: Y RNA (ENSMICG00000044889.1)
Rfam family: Y RNA
About the family: Y RNAs are components of the Ro ribonucleoprotein particle (Ro RNP), in association with Ro60 and La proteins. The Y RNAs and Ro60 and La proteins are well conserved, but the function of the Ro RNP is not known.
Source: Rfam by way of RNAcentral